GAUGAACGCUGGCGGUAUGCUUAACACAUGCAAGUCGAACGGACUCUUCGGAGUUAGUGGCGGACGGGUGAGUAACGCGUGAGAAUCUGGCUUUGGGUUCGGGACAACCACUGGAAACGGUGGCUAAUACCGGAUGUGCCGAGAGGUAAAAGAGAAAUUGCCUGAAGAUGAGCUCGCGUCUGAUUAGCUAGUUGGUGAGGUAAAGGCUCACCAAGGCAGCGAUCAGUAGCUGGUCUGAGAGGAUGACCAGCCGCACUGGGACUGAGACACGGCCCAGACUCCUACGGGAGGCAGCAGUGGGGAAUUGUCCGCAAUGGGCGAAAGCCUGACGGAGCAAUACCGCGUGAGGGAAGAAGGCUCUUGGGUUGUAAACCUCUUUUCUUAGGGAAGAACAAAAUGACGGUACCUAAGGAAUCAGCAUCGGCUAACUCCGUG
This 435-nucleotide ribosomal RNA is filed under the name uncultured bacterium. RNAcentral's name for it is "partial 16S ribosomal RNA". It matches the Rfam family "Bacterial small subunit ribosomal RNA", at positions 28 to 507 of the family's 1533-position model. The record is from RNAcentral.